This 253-nucleotide ribosomal RNA is filed under the name uncultured bacterium. RNAcentral describes it as "partial 16S ribosomal RNA". It matches the Rfam family "Bacterial small subunit ribosomal RNA", at positions 524 to 776 of the family's 1533-position model. The record is from RNAcentral.
UACGUAGGGUGCAAGCGUUGUCCGGAAUUAUUGGGCGUAAAGGGUGCGUAGGCGGCGCGGUAAGUCGGGUGUGAAAUCUCGGAGCUUAACUCCGAAACUGCAUUCGAUACUGCCGUGCUUGAGGACUGGAGAGGAGACCGGAAUUUACGGUGUAGCGGUGAAAUGCGUAGAUAUCGUAAGGAAGACCAGUGGCGAAGGCGGGUAGCUGGGCCGACACUGACGCUGAGGCGCGAAAGCCAGGGGAGCGAACGGG